AUUGAACGCUCGCGGCAGGCCUAACACAUGCAAGUCGCGCGAGCGGCGGACGGGUGAGUAAUAUAUGGGGACUGCCCGAUAGAGGGGGAUAACUACUGGAACCGGUAGCUAAUACCGCUUACGAUCGGAUAACCCAUAUGGGAUUAACUAGUUGGUGAGGUAAGGGAUCACCAAGGCGACGAUCCCUAGCUGGGCUGAGAGGAUGAUCAGCAAAACUGGGACCUAGACACGGCCCAGAAUCCUACGGAGGAAGCAGUGGGUAAAAUUGCACAAUUGGCGCAAGCCUGAUGCAGCCAUGCCGCGUGUAUGAAGAAGGCCUUAGGGUUGUAAAGUUCUUUCGGUAGCGAGGCGUUAACUAAAGAAGAAGCACCGGCUAACUCCGUGCCAGCCGCAGCGGUAAUUC
RNAcentral lists this ribosomal RNA (403 nucleotides) under uncultured bacterium. Its description in RNAcentral is "partial 16S ribosomal RNA". It matches the Rfam family "Bacterial small subunit ribosomal RNA", at positions 30 to 526 of the family's 1533-position model. The record is from RNAcentral.